Molecule: long non-coding RNA, 1284 nt
Organism: Zea mays
Lineage: Eukaryota; Viridiplantae; Streptophyta; Magnoliopsida; Poales; Poaceae
Exons: 4
Source: RefSeq, a predicted model, not a curated record
CUUUCUACACGAAGCAAGCUUUCUAUUGGUGUUGUGUGUCCAUACAAUGCUCAAGUUAGAGCUAUACAGGAAAAGGUUGGGAAGGCCUGCAGGAGGAAUGAUUAUUUCUCAGUGAAAGUAAAAUCUGUGGAUGGUUUCCAAGGCGCGGAGGAAGAUAUAAUUACCAUAUCAACAGUCAGGAGUAAUGGAGCUGGUACAGUUGGGUUUCUAUCAAACUUAUAGAGGACUAACGUGGCUCUAACAAGGGCCAAGCAUUGCUUAUGGAUUGUGGGGAAUGGAACCACUCUGUUCAACAGCAAUUCUGUUUGGUAGAAGAUUGUCAAGGACACAAGGGAUAGAGGUUGUUUUUUAAUGCCACUAAUGAGAAGGAGUUGCUGAAUGCAAUUUUCAAGCCUGCUGUUGAGUAUCCUCAGGCGGACAAUUUAGCUGGCGAGGAGACAAGGCAGCGAUUGAGUACCAGGAUGAGGUGAGAUGGGGAAAUUGGUUCGUUUUAUGAAAAUUGGGUUUGUGUAGAUAUCCUCCAUAAAUCAACAGUGGAGCAGGAUGAAAAGGACUCCAUUGAGGAAACAAAUGGUUUACAUGUGGAAUAUGAUGACCAGGAAAAGAUCAAGUACCUAGCAGAAGGGAAGCUGGUUUCUUUUUGCGGACAGGUUUUGAAAGAGGCGUCUGAUUUACAGCCUAGCACUGGGGACGCUGCCAGUGUAGACAUACAUAAUGUAUUAGACUUACGGGCACCUGUUAUUGUCAAGGUUUUGAAAGGAAUGUGCAUCAUGGAUGCUCAGAUCUUCAAAAGGCACUUGAAAAAGUUCUAUCCAUUAAUUACCAAACUUAUCUGUUGUGAUUAGAUGGAUGUUCGUGGAGCCCUUGGUGAUCUCUUUAGCAAACAGCUUACUCCACUCAUGUCUUGAAGUAUGGCAGUAUUUCCUCCGUUGCAUAUAUCUUGUUGGAAUAUAUUCGUCAUCAGCAUUUUUGUGCAAACAUGGAGCACCGGUAGGGUGCUUGACAUCCUUAAGGCACUGUCUGGUGCAAGUGCAACAGCUAUUCCCUAGGAAGUUAAGAGCUUUGCCAGCGGGAACGGCAACUCCCUAGGCCGCAUAUUUUUGAAUGACGCAAGGGAAGUAGCUUGAUUGUUUCGCACCGUGUUUUCCCUAGCGACUUGGAUGAUACGAGGGACGACGCUUCCAUUAUACAGUAGAGUAGUGUUGGUGACAUGUACGCAUUGUUCAGGACAUUGUACUUGAGGCCUGUUGUUAUUUUAUGGCAAUAGUAGAUUAUUUGCGGCAA